RNAcentral lists this transfer RNA (86 nucleotides) under Escherichia coli. RNAcentral's name for it is "tRNA-Leu". Lineage: Bacteria; Pseudomonadati; Pseudomonadota; Gammaproteobacteria; Enterobacterales; Enterobacteriaceae. RNAcentral also lists the same sequence under 2 other names. The record is from RNAcentral.
ACUUGUUGAUAGUGUUUGAUAACACGCGUGAUUUAAAAUCCCUCGGCGUUCGCGCUGUGCGGGUUCAAGUCCCGCUCCGGGUACCA